GGUUCCGUAGUGUAGCGGUUAUCACGUCUGCUUUACACGCAGAAGGCCCCCCGGUUCGAUCCCGGGCGGAACCA
RNAcentral lists this transfer RNA (74 nucleotides) under Aromia moschata. Its description in RNAcentral is "tRNA-Val". It matches the Rfam family "tRNA". Rfam says of the family: Transfer RNA (tRNA) molecules are approximately 80 nucleotides in length. Their secondary structure includes four short double-helical elements and three loops (D, anti-codon, and T loops). Lineage: Eukaryota; Metazoa; Arthropoda; Insecta; Coleoptera; Cerambycidae. The record is from RNAcentral.